GAUGAACGCUAGCGGGAGGCCUAACACAUGCAAGCCGAGCGGUAUUUGUUCUUCGGAACAGAGAGAGCGGCGCACGGGUGCGGAACACGUGUGCAACCUGCCUUUAUCUGGGGGAUAGCCUUUCGAAAGGAAGAUUAAUACCCCAUAAUAUAUUGAGUGGCAUCAUUUGAUAUUGAAAGCUCCGGUGGAUAGAGAUGGGCACGCGCAAGAUUAGAUAUUUGGUGAGGUAACGGCUCACCAAGUCAAUGAUCUUUAGGGGGCCUGAGAGGGUGAUCCCCCACACUGGUACUGAGACACGGACCAGACUCCUACGGGAGGCAGCAGUGAGGAAUAUUGGACAAUGGGUUAGCGCCUGAUCCAGCCAUCCCGCGUGAAGGACGACGGCCCUAUGGGUUGUAAACUUCUUUUGUAUAGGGAUAAACCUACUCUCGUGAGAGUAGCUGAAGGUACUAUACGAAUAAGCACCGGCUAACUCCGUG
RNAcentral lists this ribosomal RNA (479 nucleotides) under uncultured bacterium. RNAcentral's name for it is "partial 16S ribosomal RNA". It matches the Rfam family "Bacterial small subunit ribosomal RNA", at positions 28 to 507 of the family's 1533-position model. The record is from RNAcentral.